RNAcentral lists this ribosomal RNA (209 nucleotides) under uncultured bacterium. Its description in RNAcentral is "partial 16S ribosomal RNA". It matches the Rfam family "Bacterial small subunit ribosomal RNA", at positions 122 to 334 of the family's 1533-position model. The record is from RNAcentral.
AGGACUGCCUGAUGGAGGGGGAUAACUACUGGAAACGGUAGCUAAUACCGCAUAACGUCGCAAGACCAAAGAGGGGGACCUUGGGCCUCUUGCCAUCGGAUGUGCCCAGAUGGGAUUAGCUAGUAGGUGGGGUAACGGCUCACCUAGGCGACGAUCCCUAGCUGGUCUGAGAGGAUGACCAGCCACACUGGAACUGAGACACGGUCCAG